Molecule: ribosomal RNA, 505 nt
Filed under: uncultured bacterium
Lineage: Bacteria
Description: bacterial SSU rRNA
Rfam family: Bacterial small subunit ribosomal RNA
Source: RNAcentral
GAUGAACGCUAGCGGCAGGCCUAACACAUGCAAGUCGAGGGGCAUCAUGGCGUAGCAAUACGCUGAUGGCGACCGGCGCACGGGUGCGUAACGCGUAUGGAACCUACCCACCGCAGGGGGAUAACCCGCCGAAAGGCGGACUAAUACCCCAUGGUUCCCCGACCCUGCCUGGGGUUGGGGUAAAGCCUACGGGCGGCGGUGGAUGGCCCUGCGUGCCAUUAGCUGGCUGGGUGGGGUAACGGCCCACCAGGGCGACGAUGGCUAGGGGUCUGAGAGGACGAUCCCCCACACCUGGUACUGAGACACGGUCCAGACUCCUACGGGAGGCAGCAGUGAGGAAUAUUGCGCAAUGGGGGCAACCCUGACGCAGCAACGCCGCGUGAGUGAGGAAGUUUUCGGGACUGUAAAGCUCUGUCGAGCGGGAAGAAAUGUACCAUGGCUAAUAUCCAUGAUAUUUGACGGUACCGCUAGAGGAAGCACCGGCUAACUCCGUGCCAGCAGCCGG